GCCCGGAUGGCGGAACUGGUAGACGCGGCAGACUCAAAAUCUGUUUUCCUUACGGAAGUGGGAGUUCGAGUCUCCCUCCGGGCACCA
RNAcentral lists this transfer RNA (87 nucleotides) under Rhodospirillales bacterium. RNAcentral describes it as "tRNA-Leu". It matches the Rfam family "tRNA". Rfam says of the family: Transfer RNA (tRNA) molecules are approximately 80 nucleotides in length. Their secondary structure includes four short double-helical elements and three loops (D, anti-codon, and T loops). Further hydrogen bonds mediate the characteristic L-shaped molecular structure. tRNAs have two regions of fundamental functional importance: the anti-codon, which is responsible for specific mRNA codon recognition, and the 3' end, to which the tRNAs corresponding amino acid is attached (by aminoacyl-tRNA synthetases). tRNAs cope with the degeneracy of the genetic code in two manners: having more than one tRNA (with a specific anti-codon) for a particular amino acid; and 'wobble' base-pairing, i.e. permitting non-standard base-pairing at the 3rd anti-codon position. The record is from RNAcentral. Lineage: Bacteria; Pseudomonadati; Pseudomonadota; Alphaproteobacteria; Rhodospirillales.